RNAcentral lists this ribosomal RNA (404 nucleotides) under uncultured bacterium. Its description in RNAcentral is "bacterial SSU rRNA". It matches the Rfam family "Bacterial small subunit ribosomal RNA", at positions 917 to 1344 of the family's 1533-position model. The record is from RNAcentral.
GGGCCCGCACAAGCGGUGGAGCAUGUGGUUUAAUUCGAUGCAACGCGAAGAACCUUACCUGGUCUUGACAUACACAGAAUCUUGUAGAGAUACGAGAGUGCCUUCGGGAGCCAAGUGACAGGUGCUGCAUGGCUGUCGUCAGCUCGUGUCGUGAGAUGUUGGGUUAAGUCCCGUAACGAGCGCAACCCACGUCUUUAGUUGCCAGCAUUUAGUUGGGCACUCUAGAGAGACUGCCGGUGAUAAACCGGAGGAAGGCGGGGAUGACGUCAAGUCCUCAUGGCCCUUACACGCGGGGCUACACACGUGCUACAAUGGCAGUGACAAUGGGAUAAUCCCCAAAAGCUGUCUCAGUUCAGAUUGUCCUCUGCAACUCGAGGGCAUGAAGUUGGAAUCGCUAGUAAUCG